RNAcentral lists this ribosomal RNA (2023 nucleotides) under Bacteroidia bacterium. RNAcentral's name for it is "partial 23S ribosomal RNA". It matches the Rfam family "Bacterial large subunit ribosomal RNA", at positions 1 to 2006 of the family's 2925-position model. Lineage: Bacteria; Pseudomonadati; Bacteroidota; Bacteroidia. The record is from RNAcentral.
GUUAAGAUACUAAGGGCAACUGGUGGAUGCCUUGGUGUCAGGAGGCGAUGAAGGACGUGGUAGGCUGCGAUAAGCCUCGGGGAGCCGUCAAGCAGGCUUUGAUCCGGGGAUUUCCGAAUGGGGCAACCCGGCUGGAGUAAUGUCCAGUCACUCUUUUGCUGAAUACAUAGGCUUAAGGGGGCGAACUCGGGGAAGUGAAACAUCUCAGUACCCGAAGGAGUAGAAAUCAAGAGAGAUUCCGUAAGUAGCGGCGAGCGAACGCGGAAGAGCCCAAACCGUCUGGUUUCGACCAGGCGGGGUUGUAGGGCCUCGAACAUGGACCAAGAGGGAUAGCAGAGGCAGUUGGAAAGCUGCACCAUAGAGGGUGAUAGUCCUGUAUGCGAAAUUCCGAAUGGCCUACGAGGUACCUGAGUACCGCGGGACACGAGAAAUCCCGUGGGAAUCUGGGAGGACCAUCUUCCAAGGCUAAAUACUACCUGACGACCGAUAGUGAACCAGUACCGUGAGGGAAAGGUGAAAAGAACCCCUGUUAGGGGAGUGAAAAAGAACCUGAAACCGGUUGCCUACAAGCAGUUCGAGCCUGUCUUCGGACGGGUGAGAGCGUGCCUUUUGCAUAAUGAGCCAGCGAGUUAAUUUAAAGUGCGAGGUUAAGCCGCGAGGUGGAGCCGUAGCGAAAGCGAGUCUGAAUAGGGCGACUAGUACUUUGGAUUAGACCCGAAGCCGAGUGAUCUAUCCAUGAGCAGGGUGAAGCAAGGGUAAAACCUUGUGGAGGCCCGAACCGUUGUAGGUUGAAAACUGCUCGGAUGACUUGUGGAUAGGGGUGAAAGGCCAAUCAAACUCGGUGAUAGCUGGUUCUCCCCGAAAUAUAUUGAGGUAUAGCCUCGGGAGUUUUCUUGCGGAGGUAGAGCACUGACAAGGCUAGGGGCCCCACCAGGUUACCAAACCUUAUCAAACUCCGAAUGCCGUAAGACGAGAUCCCGGGAGUCAGACUGCGGGUGAGAAGGUCCGUGGUCGAAAGGGAAACAGCCCAGACCGUCGGCUAAGGUCCUCAAAUUCAUGCUGAGUGGGAAAGGAAGUGGAGACGCACAAACAGCCAGGAGGUUGGCUUAGAAGCAGCCAUCCUUUAAAGAAAGCGUAAUAGCUCACUGGUCUAGUGUCUCCGCGCCGAAAAUGUAACGGGGCUAAGCAUGAUACCGAAGCCACGGGAUUGCUCUUUAUGAGUGAUCGGUAGGGGAGCGUUCCCUGCGGGAUGAAGGUGACUCGGAAGGGUUGCUGGACUGCAGGGAAGUGAGGAUGCUGGCAUGAGUAACGAUAAAACGGGUGAGAAACCCGUUCGCCGUAAACCCAAGGUUUCCUGGGUAAAGUUAAUCUUCCCAGGGUGAGUCGGCCCCUAAGGCGAGGCUGAAAAGCGUAGUCGAUGGGAAACAGGUUAAUAUUCCUGUACCUGCUGACGAAUCGUUUGAGCGAUGGGGGGACGCAGAAGGGUAGGUCAGCCACCUGCUGGAAUAGGUGGUUCAAGCCUGUAGGGAUGAGUCUCAGGCAAAUCCGGGACUCUCUAUCCUGAGAGGUGAUGACGAGCCGCAAGGCGGAAGUGAUUGAGCCCAUGCUGCCGAGAAAAGCCUCUAAGCGAGAUUCGAUGGUAGACCGUACCGUAAACCGACACAGGUGGGUGGGGUGAGUAACCCAAGGCGCUUGAGAGAACUCUGGUUAAGGAACUCGGCAAAAUGACCCCGUAACUUCGGGAGAAGGGGUGCCACGUUUGGUGAACGAAGUACAUUGGGAGCUAGACGUGGUCGCAGAGAAAUGGCGGUGGCGACUGUUUACUAAAAACAUAGGUCUCUGCUAAGUCGUAAGACGACGUAUAGGGACUGACGCCUGCCCGGUGCCGGAAGGUUAAGGGGAGGGGUUAGCGCAAGCGAAGCUCUGAACCGAAGCCCCGGUAAACGGCGGCCGUAACUAUAACGGUCCUAAGGUAGCGAAAUUCCUUGUCGGGUAAGUUCCGACCUGCACGAAUGGCGUAACG